Molecule: unclassified non-coding RNA, 294 nt
Filed under: Hevea brasiliensis (rubber tree)
Lineage: Eukaryota; Viridiplantae; Streptophyta; Magnoliopsida; Malpighiales; Euphorbiaceae
Source: RNAcentral
ACUGUCUGGUGAAAAUGGUUUCAAGUACCUUAAUCUAUCUUUAGCCAAUGUUAUGACAAAAACACUAGCACAACUUCAAAAGUUUAACUGAACAAUGUUUUUUCUAGGAUUCCAGUCUCUUCCUUAUCUUCAUGAUAAGGUCCUUACUGCUGCUGAUGCUUUCAUCGGUUUCUCUUCCAAUCAGUAGAAGCAGCAGGUUAUUAGGCCUGGGAUUCUAGCUGGUAUUGUCAAAGGCUUUAAAGCAGGGAAAGAAGAGCAGACCACUGAUACUACUCCCACACCUCAAUCCAAUUU